GAUGAACGCCGGCGGCGUGCUUAACACAUGCAAGUCGAACGGAAAGGCCCAAGCUUGCUUGGGUCCUCGAGUGGCGAACGGGUGAGUAACACGUGGGUGAUCUGCCCUGCACUUCGGGAUAAGCCUGGGAAACUGGGUCUAAUACCGGAUAGGACCACAUUUUGGAUGGUGUGGUGGAAAGUUUUUCGGUGUGGGAUGAGCUCGCGGCCUAUCAGCUUGUUGGUGGGGUAAUGGCCUACCAAGGCGUCGACGGGUAGCCGGCCUGAGAGGGUGUACGGCCACAUUGGGACUGAGAUACGGCCCAGACUCCUACGGGAGGCAGCAGUGGGGAAUAUUGCACAAUGGGCGCAAGCCUGAUGCAGCGACGCCGCGUGGGGGAUGACGGCCUUCGGGUUGUAAACUCCUUUCGCUAGGGACGAAGCGUUAUGUGACGGUACCUGGAGAAGAAGCACCGGCUAACUACGUG
RNAcentral lists this ribosomal RNA (466 nucleotides) under uncultured bacterium. RNAcentral's name for it is "partial 16S ribosomal RNA". It matches the Rfam family "Bacterial small subunit ribosomal RNA", at positions 28 to 507 of the family's 1533-position model. The record is from RNAcentral.